Long non-coding RNA from Carassius auratus (goldfish), 3516 nucleotides. The record is from Ensembl. NCBI's taxonomy places the organism in Eukaryota, Metazoa, Chordata, Actinopteri, Cypriniformes, Cyprinidae.
AUGUUCAGCUGGCCAAAACUCCCAGAUACCAUGGUGACUGUCUGGAUGAUAACAAUGAAAGCCCUGAUGAGUUAUUUAAACUCAAGCCAGCCCAACCCAGUAUUCUUAGAUACUCUUCAGGAAAAUGUGGCAAUGCAUGAGGAUGAUCAUCCCAAAAGCUCUGCUUCUUCAGGGAAGGAACCAAAGGAAACAAAAUGCAAAGUCACCAUGGAGAAAUUGUUUUAUCUGAAUACUAAGAUACUCCAACAAAUUAAAAUGCUGGAACAGAGACAAGCUGUCAUCAUGAAUGACUUGGCAAAAGUUAAGCCUGUUCUCAUGAAGCGGGCAGAAGAAGAUGCCCAUGAGGAACUUUUUAAACAACAACAGUGCUCCAGCUUUGAAACGUUUGAAGCCUUCUGUCAGAGGCUUGAAGAAGACAAAAAUUAUCAAGAGCUUUAUGUACACUAUCUCAUCCAUACUCACGGCACCUCCAAUAUAGGUGAGAUGGUGAAAGAGGCUUUAAUAAGCAUAGUGUCAGACAAUGUUCUCUGUCUGUAUAACAGAACGGGGAAAGAUGGGAAGAAGGUGUUGCCACCUGUGCUCCUGACAUGUUUGAAAAAAUGUGUCAGGUCUUUUCACAAACAAAAUGAAAUAAAGGUGAAGAAGCUAAAAGUAACCACCAGAACAACACCAGACGCGGAAUGUAUUCGCCAAGUAGAAUUUUUUUGUCCAACGCCAAAACCAGGCUGAAAAGGAAACCAAAUAAAGGAAAAAGCUGACUUUUUGUUUGAUUGUUUUUAUUGAUGGAAAUAAGGAAUGUGGGUGUAAAAGUUUGAGUUAACUGAAUCAUUUUAGAUAACAGUGAACUAACACAAUUAUUGCAUAGUGGUGUUAUAUGGUGAUCUCACAGUAUGAGCACACAGUGACCACAGUAUGAGCACACAGUGAUCACAGUAUGAGCACACAGUGAGUGUGAUGUGACCUCAUAUUUCCACCACAGUAUGAGUGCACUGUGAUUGUGCAGUCACCUCAUGCUGUGAACAAAGUAUGAGCACACAGUGAGAGCUCUUUGUGGUUACACUUUUAGUUCACUGUGACACUCACAUUAUGACCGCACCAUGAGAAUAUUGUGAGCUCAUAGUGACAUCAUUGUGAGAUCAAAUUGUUGACUGGGCAAUUACAGUUGUUUUUAUUAUUGUACAUUAUUCUCCUCAAAUGCUCUCGAAGUUAGAAAAGUGUAGUAGUCUAUACCAAUACCUCAUGUAACUUUAGAGACGGUCCCUAUAUUUGCGAAUAUCGAACAUCCAACGUCAAGCCAACUUUAUGCCCGCUUUUUACUUUUUUUUUUUUUUACUUUCUUCUGUUUUCUUUCCUCUGCAACGGAUGGUUGAUGUCUUUUAACCAGGCAUAUAUGUCCAUCCAUCAAUUAUGAACAUUCAGCCGCAAACAUGAGGUGCGAGCGUUUACAAGUGUGGUCGGGGGGAAUGACAAGGUUUUUUUUUUUUUUUUUUUUUUGAGCACUGCCCCCCAGGGAUUUGCUGCCCUACACAAACUGUGUACUCUGCAUAUAGAGAGCGGUGGUACUGCCUAAAAUGUAAUGUUUCUGUUAAUAUUGGGGGCUGAAAUUCUUCAAGAUUACAUCUUCCUUGGGGAGUCCCUCAAGGUUCGAUUCUUGCUCAAAUUCUUUUCUCCCUUUAUAUGUUACCGUUAGGAGCAAUUUUUCACAAAUAUAAAGUGUCAUUCCAUUGCAACGCUGAUGAUACGCAGAUUUAUUUGCCUGUGAGUGAGUUCAAACUCAAAUUAAAAUUCAAACUCACUUGACACUUUAUUAGCAUGCUUACACAAUGUUAAAGAGGGGGUGAAAAGCUAAUUUUCACUCAAUCUCCUGUUAAUCUUGAGUACGUAUAGAGUAGUACUGCAUCCUCCAUAUCUCCAAAAAGUCUUUAGUUAUAUUAUAUUUAUUAGAGAAAGAUAGUCUGUACUGAUUUUUUCCGGAAAAAAACACGAGCGGCUGGAGGCGUGACGUGUGGGUGGAGCUAAAGAAUCACGAGCACGACUAGGAUUUUGCAUUGAGAGCAUUUGGAAGCUGUGACAUUACCAUCAUCCAAAACAAACCAUGGCUAACAGUAAGAUUCAGCCGUAUAUUUUUGAUCCAGAAUCAGAUCUCGAGGCUGAAAUUGAACAAGAGCAGCAGCAGCAACGACUACAGCAGGACGUCUCUAUGUAGUAUAUAUUGAAACUAUAUAUAUUUGCUUAGCGGUUUUGGAAAGUGACUAAGUUCCACAUUAUGUCGUUUUUUUUUUUUUUUUUAAAGGGGGGGUGAAAUGCUCGUUUUCACUCAAUAUCCUGUUAAUCUUGAGUACCUAUAGAGUAGUACUGCAUCCUUCAUAACACCAAAAAGUCUUUAGUUUUAUUAUAUUUAUAAGAGAAAGAUAGUCUGUACCGAUUUUUCCCGGAAAAACACGAGCGCCUGGAGGCGUCACGUGUGGGCGGAGCUAAAGAACAAGCACGAAUUAUGUCGAUUGCAAGUGUCACAGGUAGCAGAAAGUGCAAGUAGCGAUUGCAACUGACAUUGUAAUUUAGUUUAUUUUUUUCUUGUCUUCGCCACCUGGCUACUGUUGUAAAAUGUUGGGAAAUUCGAACAAAAAGUUAAAAAAAAAAUCAAUAAAAUAAAGAAUAAAGACUGCAAGUGAUGUCACUAGCGCAAGUGCAAGUGUCUGAGAGUGCAAGUGCAAGUCUGCAGCCAGACCCUCUUGCAACUCCGUUGAUGCUCUGUAAAAAUAAACUCCAUCCACUGGUCCCUUAAUGCUGUUUUUUUUUUUGGUAAUCUGUACAGGGUUGUCUUGCCCUGGCAACCGAAAACACACUUUGGUGACAUUUCGCUCUCUCACACUGGUCAGUGAAUGUCUCUGCUCUGGUCUAUGGGCACGCACGCGCUCUUCUGGGAGAAGUGCCCUUAGGACCCAUAUAAGGAAAUUCUGCACCAUCUAACGUCACACGGACCCAUACUCGAAAAAAACUUUCCGAAACUUGUGACAAACCGGAAGGAGUAUUUUUGGAACAAAAAUACUCCUUCAAACGUACAACUUAAUUUUUGAAACUUUGUCCAUGUUUAGCAUGGGAAUCCAACUCUUUAACAGUGUAAAAAUCUCAGUAUGCAUGAAAUAGCAUUUCACCCCCCUUUAAGGAUUGGAUGGCUGCAAUUUUUUUAAAGGUUAAUGAAAAUAAAACUGAUGUUAUUGUGUUUGGCCCUAGAAAACAUGAGGUGCUGCCGUGCUUGAAAGCAAUUUUUUUGACUGGUUUUGUUAAAUCUAAUGUAAAAAAAAAAAAAAGGAUUUGUUCUGGAUAGUGAUUUAAAGUUGGACAGAGAAAUUAACAUUGUGGUGAGAUCUUGUUUUUUUUUUUUUUUUUAUCUAUGUCUGCUAGUUAAGACUAAACCAUUUCUAUCUAGUUCAGAUUUUGAGAGAGCAAUUCCGUCCAUUGUCUUUUCACGAAUGGAUUAUUGUAAUUCACUUUACUAUGGAGUUGACGUUCGAG